RNAcentral lists this ribosomal RNA (747 nucleotides) under uncultured Rhodobacterales bacterium. RNAcentral describes it as "SSU rRNA". It matches the Rfam family "Bacterial small subunit ribosomal RNA", at positions 87 to 870 of the family's 1533-position model. Lineage: Bacteria; Pseudomonadati; Pseudomonadota; Alphaproteobacteria; Rhodobacterales. The record is from RNAcentral.
UCGGGCGAGCGGCGGACGGGUUAGUAACGCGUGKGAACGUGCCCAGAUCUACGGAAUAGCCACUGGAAACGGUGAGUAAUACCGUAUACGCCCUUCGGGGGAAAGAUUUAUCGGAUUUGGAUCGGCCCGCGUUAGAUUAGGUAGUUGGUGGGGUAACGGCCUACCAAGCCUACGAUCUAUAGCUGGUUUUAGAGGAUGAUCAGCAACACUGGGACUGAGACACGGCCCAGACUCCUACGGGAGGCAGCAGUGGGGAAUCUUGGACAAUGGGGGCAACCCUGAUCCAGCCAUGCCGCGUGAGUGAAGAAGGCCCUAGGGUCGUAAAACUCUUUCGCCUGUGAUGAUAAUGACAGUAGCAGGUAAAGAAACCCCGGCUAACUCCGUGCCAGCAGCCGCGGUAAUACGGAGGGGGUUAGCGUUGUUCGGAAUUACUGGGCGUAAAGCGCACGUAGGCGGAUUAGAAAGUUAGAGGUGAAAUCCCGGGGCUCAACCCCGGAACUGCCUUUAAAACUACUAGUCUAGAGUUCGAGAGAGGUGAGUGGAAUUCCGAGUGUAGAGGUGAAAUUCGUAGAUAUUCGGAGGAACACCAGUGGCGAAGGCGGCUCACUGGCUCGAUACUGACGCUGAGGUGCGAAAGUGUGGGGAGCAAACAGGAUUAGAUACCCUGGUAGUCCACACCGUAAACGAUGAAUGCCAGUCGUCGGGUAGUAUACUAUUCGGUGACACACCUAACGGAUUAAGCAUUCC